Molecule: long non-coding RNA, 807 nt
Organism: Galleria mellonella (greater wax moth)
Lineage: Eukaryota; Metazoa; Arthropoda; Insecta; Lepidoptera; Pyralidae
Exons: 3
Source: RefSeq, a predicted model, not a curated record
UGCGCUAACGGUAUACGCUGGCGGGGCACCAGUGAGGGAUGAUAGGUGACGACGAAAGCAGGUCAGUUAGUCCAUCGUGAUGAAUGCGACAAGUAUUAAUCACAAUGGUUUUCAGGGGGAACCGCGUGGAGGUCGAGCUGACUGAGCUGAUGAGGGCUGGUUAGUAAUGGGAUUACUAGUCCCCUCUUAUUUAGUAUUAAUACGACCUUUAACUAAUGAAUAAAUAAAUGAGGUUAACCAAAGUGAGUGUGGUGUAAAUCUAAUAAUUGUGCCGGAUUCGAACCCACGGCUAUUAGAAGGUGAGGCAGCGUGUUCAACCGCUAAACCACUAGCCAACGUUGGUACUGGUAAUAUAAAGAGUUAUGUAAUCUAUUACCAAAUAUAAACAGGAUAUGCCUUACAUUUGAAGGCAGGUACAUCAUCAGUCCUUAUUCGUUCCAUAAUGACAUCACUACACUUUCAUCCGCCGACGCAGUCGGUGAAAUGACUUUGUUUGCAUUCGAAGGAAUCGAUUCAGUGAGAGUGGACAGUGGUGGGUUUCUUUUUUCCUAAAUAAAUAUAUGUUAUUAAAAAAAAUGGCUGUUUAUGUUCUCAUAGUUGUAUGUAGUAUAAAUUUUGCCCUUGCCAGUGGAUUAUUAGAGAAAGCUACUAAUGGAUCUGACUCCGUGGUAACAUUAACAACAAUCAAUAAUUUAAAUGCAUCAAUAAUACAUGGAGAAUCUAUGCCUCGAACCAGAUUCGAAGAUGAAGAGAUCCUAAUAAAAUAUAGAAGACAGAAUGGAGCUAUUAAAUUCGAAGAUCAGUCUG